This 486-nucleotide ribosomal RNA is filed under the name Diutina rugosa. Its description in RNAcentral is "LSU rRNA". It matches the Rfam family "Eukaryotic large subunit ribosomal RNA", at positions 38 to 535 of the family's 3401-position model. Lineage: Eukaryota; Fungi; Ascomycota; Pichiomycetes; Serinales; Debaryomycetaceae. The record is from RNAcentral.
GCAUAUCAAUAAGCGGAGGAAAAGAAACCAACCGGGAUUGCCUCAGUAACGGCGAGUGAAGCGGCAACAGCUCAAAUUUGAAAGCCCGCGGGCGUUGUAAUUUGCAGGCGGAUGUUUUGGGGCGGGCGCUGUCUACGUUCCUUGGAACAGGACGCCGCAGAGGGUGAGAGCCCCGUGCGAUGGCGCCUCUAACCGCGUAAAACUCCGCCGACGAGUCGAGUUGUUUGGGAAUGCAGCUCCAAGUGGGUGGUAAAUUCCAUCUAAAGCUAAAUACUGGCGAGAGACCGAUAGCGAACAAGUACAGUGAUGGAAAGAUGAAAAGCACUUUGAAAAGAGAGUGAAACAGCACGUGAAAUUGUUGAAAGGGAAGGGUAUGCGAUUAGCGGCCAGCAGGAGGUGCCUUCUCGUGAAAAGGCCGUGCACCGUCUUCGGACACCGUGCGCGGAGAUGGCGAGGGGGCGCCUGAGGUCUGCGAACUCGAGGUUG